This 803-nucleotide long non-coding RNA is filed under the name Triticum aestivum (bread wheat). Its description in RNAcentral is "long non-coding RNA (TAES_LNC012793)". The record is from RNAcentral. Lineage: Eukaryota; Viridiplantae; Streptophyta; Magnoliopsida; Poales; Poaceae.
CAAUCCCGGACUGGAAGAUCUCCUGCUCUGGUAGUACUUGUUUUCUGUACACCUGCCUUUUGAUUUUGGGAAGAUUUCAAACAUACUCAACUUCUGCAGUUUUUUAUGUCGUGAAUGCAGGGUUUCAUGAAGAGCGAGAAGUUGUGCCAGUGGGAUAAGGUGGGUUCCCCUGUGCUCCUUUGAUUAAUGCUUCAUUUGUUGUCAAAUCUACGGCUGCUCAGCUCUAUAUCUGUAAGCUGUGAUGACACUAUCUGCUUGCUUCUGCAGAAUGGUCACGUGAGCCAUCAGCUAUCACUGCUCUAAGAUGAGACUGCGGCUGUGGCUGCGGCUGCUGGUUCUGUGCUUGAUGAUAAUCCUAUUUGUGGUUUAUAACAUGGAAAGCUACCAACAUAGACAGAUAGCGGUAAUGCUCGAUCGUUUCUAAAAUUCCCUGUUAUAUUCUGCUCGAGAGACGAUGCUCAUCUGAUUAUAUGUUGUUACAGUUGGAUGAAGACUAGCCCAUUUGACACGAUGAUGGUAUGUGAACCCAUUACCUCCAUCAAAAGGAUCAAUUUGGUUAGUUUGCUGCGGUAGUCUUGAAGCUGAUAGUAAUUUGUUGCUGAGGCGUUGACUGUGGCUCCAUUGUACAUAUCAGGAGUCUGGCAGGGCUGCUGUUUAGGUAUAUGGGAAUAUGAUUGUUCAUAUGCAGAGGAAUUGGUAAAAGAGAACAAGCGGCUUGAUGCUGCAUUUUCUCAGGUGUAGAGGUUUGCCCAUCAAGCAAUGGUAGCUGGAGGAACGUAGUUCUUACUCGCAAGAGUGAAACA